Molecule: long non-coding RNA, 339 nt
Organism: Rosa chinensis
Lineage: Eukaryota; Viridiplantae; Streptophyta; Magnoliopsida; Rosales; Rosaceae
Exons: 3
Source: RefSeq, a predicted model, not a curated record
UUCGGGUUUUUGUUUGAAGGGAAGUUAAGGAUCGUUGAAAGGAAGUUAAGGGUUUUGUGAAUGCAAAAGAGGAUGGCGUUGAUGAAGCUGAGGAGCAGAGUAGAGGGGAGAGUACUAUGCUGGAGUGGUUUAGGUGCUUGACCUAAGAAGCUCCUAACCCUCCUCUGAGGUGGCCUUGGUUUCUGGAUGACCCAUCACAAUGUUGCAGCCUUGGUGGUCGUGAAACCUGGAGAGCAAAAUCCAUUGCAGGAAUCAUAACAGAGAGAGAUAUUUUCGCCAUGCUUCAAGUGAGAUGUAUGACAUUUCUCAAGGUCUGGCCAAAUCUGUUUGAAUAAAUAG